UACGUAGGGUCCGAGCGUUGUCCGGAAUUAUUGGGCGUAAAGGGCUCGUAGGCGGUUCGUCACGUCGGGGAGUGAAAACUCGGAGCUCAACUCCGAGCCUGCUUCCGAUACGGGCAGACUAGAGGUAGGCAGGGGAGAGCGGAACUCCUGGUGUAGCGGUGGAAUGCGCAGAUAUCAGGAAGAACACCGGUGGCGAAGGCGGCUCUCUGGGCCUUACCUGACGCUGAGGAGCGAAAGCGUGGGGAGCGAACAGG
Molecule: ribosomal RNA, 254 nt
Filed under: uncultured bacterium
Lineage: Bacteria
Description: partial 16S ribosomal RNA
Rfam family: Bacterial small subunit ribosomal RNA
Source: RNAcentral